This 497-nucleotide ribosomal RNA is filed under the name uncultured bacterium. RNAcentral describes it as "partial 16S ribosomal RNA". It matches the Rfam family "Bacterial small subunit ribosomal RNA", at positions 28 to 507 of the family's 1533-position model. The record is from RNAcentral.
GUUGAACGCUGGCGGCGUGCCUAAUACAUGCAAGUCGAGCGAACGGACGAGAAGCUUGCUUCUCUGAUGUUAGCGGCGGACGGGUGAGUAACACGUGGAUAACCUACCUAUAAGACUGGGAUAACUUCGGGAAACCGGAGCUAAUACCGGAUGAUAUUUUGAACCGCAUGGUUCAAAAGUGAAAGACGGUCUUGCUGUCACUUAUAGAUGGAUCCGCGCUGCAUUAGCUAGUUGGUAAGGUAACGGCUUACCAAGGCAACGAUGCAUAGCCGACCUGAGAGGGUGAUCGGCCACACUGGAACUGAGACACGGUCCAGACUCCUACGGGAGGCAGCAGUAGGGAAUCUUCCGCAAAGGGCGAAAGCCUGACGGAGCAACGCCGCGUGGGUGAUGAAGGUCUUCGGAUCGUAAAACUCUGUUAUUAGGGAAGAACAUAUGUGUAAGUAACUGUGCACAUCUUGACGGUACCUAAUCAGAAAGCCACGGCUAACUACGUG